This 375-nucleotide RNase P RNA is filed under the name Salmonella enterica. RNAcentral's name for it is "RNase P RNA component class A". It matches the Rfam family "Bacterial RNase P class A". Rfam says of the family: Ribonuclease P (RNase P) is a ubiquitous endoribonuclease, found in archaea, bacteria and eukarya as well as chloroplasts and mitochondria. Its best characterised activity is the generation of mature 5'-ends of tRNAs by cleaving the 5'-leader elements of precursor-tRNAs. Lineage: Bacteria; Pseudomonadati; Pseudomonadota; Gammaproteobacteria; Enterobacterales; Enterobacteriaceae. The record is from RNAcentral.
GAAGCUGACCAGACAGUCGCCGUUUCGUCGUCGUCCUUUCGGGGAGACGGGCGGAGGGGAGGAAAGUCCGGGCUCCAUAGGGCAGGGUGCCAGGUAACGCCUGGGGGGGAAACCCACGACCAGUGCAACAGAGAGCAAACCGCCGAUGGCCCACGUAAGUGGGAUCAGGUAAGGGUGAAAGGGUGCGGUAAGAGCGCACCGCGCGGCUGGUAACAGUCCGUGGCACGGUAAACUCCACCCGGAGCAAGGCCAAAUAGGGGUUCAUAAGGUACGGCCCGUACUGAACCCGGGUAGGCUGCUUGAGCCAGUGAGCGAUUGCUGGCCUAGAUGAAUGACUGUCCACGACAGAACCCGGCUUAUCGGUCAGUUUCACUU